ACACUUACCUGACAGGGGAGAUACCAUGAUCACAAAGGUGAUUUUCCCAGGUCACAGCUUAUUCAUUGUAUUCCAGGUGUGCUGACCUCUGUGAUUUUCCCAAAUGUGGGAAACUCGACUGCAUAAUUUGUGGUACUGGGAGACUGCAUUUGCACCCUCCUC
Small nuclear RNA from Prolemur simus (greater bamboo lemur), 162 nucleotides. Its record names the gene U1. It matches the Rfam family "U1 spliceosomal RNA". From Rfam's summary of the family: U1 is a small nuclear RNA (snRNA) component of the spliceosome (involved in pre-mRNA splicing). Its 5' end forms complementary base pairs with the 5' splice junction, thus defining the 5' donor site of an intron. There are significant differences in sequence and secondary structure between metazoan and yeast U1 snRNAs, the latter being much longer (568 nucleotides as compared to 164 nucleotides in human). The record is from Ensembl. Lineage: Eukaryota; Metazoa; Chordata; Mammalia; Primates; Lemuridae.